RNAcentral lists this ribosomal RNA (433 nucleotides) under uncultured bacterium. RNAcentral describes it as "partial 16S ribosomal RNA". It matches the Rfam family "Bacterial small subunit ribosomal RNA", at positions 29 to 507 of the family's 1533-position model. The record is from RNAcentral.
AACGAACGCUGGCGGCAUGCCUAACACAUGCAAGUCGAACGAGACCUUCGGGUCUAGUGGCGCACGGGUGCGUAACGCGUGGGAAUCUGCCCUUCGGUUGGGAAUAACUGAGAGAAAUUUCAGCUAAUACCUUAUAAUGUCUUCGGACCAAAGAUUUAUCGCCGAGGGAUGAGCCCGCGUAGGAUUAGGUAGUUGGUGGGGUAAUGGCCUACCAAGCCGACGAUCCUUAGCUGGUCUGAGAGGAUGAUCAGCCACACUGGGACUGAGACACGGCCCAGACUCCUACGGGAGGCAGCAGUGGGGAAUAUUGGACAAUGGGCGAAAGCCUGAUCCAGCAAUGCCGCGUGAGUGAUGAAGGCCUUAGGGUUGUAAAGCUCUUUUACCCGGGAUGAUAAUGACAGUACCGGGAGAAUAAGCUCCGGCUAACACCGUG